GUGGGGAAUAUUGGACAAUGGGCGCAAGCCUGAUCCAGCAAUGCCGCGUGGGUGAAGAAGGUCUUCGGAUCGUAAAGCCCUUUCGACAGGGACGAUGAUGACGGUACCUGUAGAAGAAGCCCCGGCUAACUUCGUGCCAGCAGCCGCGGUAAUACGAAGGGGGCUAGCGUUACUCGGAAUUACUGGGCGUAAAGGGCGCGUAGGCGGCUCUGUUAGUCAGGCGUGAAAUUCCUGGGCUUAACCUGGGGACUGCGCUUGAUACUGCAGGGCUUGAGGCCGAGAGAGGGUGGUGGAAUUCCCAGUGUAGAGGUGAAAUUCGUAGAUAUUGGGAAGAACACCGGUGGCGAAGGCGACCACCUGGCUCGGUUCUGACGCUGAGGCGCGACAGCGUGGGGAUCAAACAGGAUUAGAUACCCCGGUAGUCC
This 425-nucleotide ribosomal RNA is filed under the name uncultured bacterium. RNAcentral's name for it is "partial 16S ribosomal RNA". It matches the Rfam family "Bacterial small subunit ribosomal RNA", at positions 354 to 796 of the family's 1533-position model. The record is from RNAcentral.